Perca fluviatilis (European perch) is the source of this 2833-nucleotide long non-coding RNA. RefSeq lists it as uncharacterized. The record is from RefSeq and is a predicted model, not a curated record. The transcript has 3 exons. Lineage: Eukaryota; Metazoa; Chordata; Actinopteri; Perciformes; Percidae.
AAACCUGGGUUGAAUGUGACUGUCUGCAAUCAUUUCUCCAAGUUCAAGCCAAAGGCAAAGCCUCAAACCCUGGACUCAUCACGCCAUCAAAGGAGGAAGCUUCCAGCCCCUCCACUGAGAGAAAAGUUGGAGCCAGAGCUACAGGUGAAAGUGUUUCGGCCAUAGUGACAGUCAGCAGCAUAACAUGUCCCUCAGGGCCACUUCAGAGCCCCAGGGACGGGGGCCCGUCUCAUCCAGUGCCUUGACCCAGUGUCCGCCUCCAGCUGCAGGCCAAACAGGGGCCAACACCCGCCCUGUGCGACCUACCAAGCCCUCAGCCAGGCACGGUACCCUGUCAGUCAAAAUGCCUCUCAGAAAAGAUGACUGUCUCUUUCCACUUUAUCAUCCAUUUUCUCCUCCUCUCCACGCACAAAACAUCAAGCAAGGAUGACUCGACAGUCGGUGUCUCUGCCUUAAAAAUCUGCAAACACUCCUCAUGACCCAACUGAAAUAGAAUAUCUGUACAGACAAAAAUAACUCUCAUUUCCUUUUUAUAUCUGUUUGCAAGAGUAUUGUGAUUUACUGUACAAUGAAGAUGUGGAAAAAUCAUGUGAAACUUUCUGUGAUUCAGUGUCCCAAAAAGAGGCUGAGCCGUGUUUUAUACUGCAUCUUCUUUCUCACCAAAUGAAAUGCCAUGAGGAAUCUUAUCAUAAGCCCCUUAAGAGCUUUUUUGGAUGAUUGUCCAUUUUCACACACACACACACACACACACACACACACACACACACACACACACACACACACACACACACACACACACACACACACACACACACACACACACACACACACACACUCAGCUAUCAGAUGGUAAUCCUCAUUUGGGGAAUGAUUGUAACACCUUUUGACAUUUAUAUAUAAUAAAUGGAUUUACCAGAAAAUCAGUGUUUAAAUACGCAAAUCAUCAGAGCCAAAACAUGUUUAUCCUCCCUUCCUGACGCUAAAAUUGCUUUAUGGCAAUAAUGGAACACAAAGCACAUUUGGGAAGUCUGUCACUCUUUGUAAACAUAGUUUUAAAAAGUUAAAGGAAUAGUUUGGGGAAAUUCAGGAGUUACAGGAGAAGAUCGAUGUCUGUACAGUAAAUAUGUAGCCUGUUAGCUUAGGUUAUCAUAAAGACUAGAAACUGGGAAAAAAAGAUAGCUUGACUCCUUUUUUUAAAAGGUAAAAAUAUAAGCCGAGCAGCACUUCUAAAGCUCACUGAUGAACAUAUAUUUUUGGUUUGUUUAAACUGUACAACUAGGCAAGUAUUGUUACCUUCAGACAGAGCCAGGCUAGCUGUUUCCUUAACAGCCUUAAUAUGGAAGCUGUGGGCUUUUAAAUUGAAAUUAGUUAAAAUAAGGUUUGAAUAAUGUCUGAAUGUCAGACAAACUCAGCUCGACAGAUUGUCUCAGUAGGUUUGACAUUCAGGUUCGGUCUGACAGCCUUCCCUCUUGCAGCAUUCUUCAACCCAAAGUCAUUCUCUUCCUCGGUCAUUUUCUUCAUUUACUUUACUUUCAAAUGUUGUGGCCUUUUAUUUGAACAAAAAAGGUAUUUUCAUGUUUCCACUUCGCUGGGUUAUGUCCAAACUUUCGUGCUGCGUUCAGAAAAUCCUGUAAAGAUUUUUACAUAAUGAAGUCUGAUGGGCUAUAUGACAAAUGCCAUGAAACCAUGAUUUUGUUACAAGCAAUUUAUUUUUGUACUUACUGAACGUUUUUAUGCAAUACCACCGAAAUAAGUACUAUUGCAAAUUAAAGGCUUUAUUCUCUCCUCAAAGGAGCCCUCCUCAGUCAGUCCUAUUAGACCCUCUCAUGUGUGAUGAUUCAAAGUGCUUUCAGUGUAUGCCUGCAUUUACCAUUUGAUAUUCUGCCAGUAAUGACAAUGGUAAAUGUUACAAAAACACGGGUGACAAGAGGCAUUUUUUGGAGCGGCUAUAGUACGAUUCAUACUCCUUAAACACUAGAUUUGAGAAUACUGCCUUUCAUUUUGGGUUACUUUUCUUCACUCUGUGACCACUUACAUUAGUCAGAAUCUCAGUUAGCCAUGCAUACGGUUGCCAAAGUGUUUGCUCUGGCUAUACAGCUCAAGAGCAGAGUUGGAUUUUCUGAUGGACUGCUUGAACUAAAAGGUGUGAUAAUCUUCAGUAUGAAUGCUCAGCCCCUUCUAUUAGUGACCUUUUCAUCCCAGCCUUUCACAUCUCGGGUUUUGCACAUUGAUCCUGUACUUUUGUCAAUCUUGUUCUCACGAGGUGUCGAUGUAUAAAAGCAUGUUUCUGGUUUUAUCAAAAUUGAUGUAAAAUUUCCCAUGAAAAGCACAGCCACAAGGGUCCAAUCAUUAGUGUCCUGUAUUUUUCUAAUGUAAAAAAAAAUAUCUCAUCACAGAAUUUAUUAAUAUAUGUAUAUGUGUGAAAAGAUGGAUAUGAUAUAGAAUAAUAUGUGUAUUGCCCAAUCAUAGUUGACGAAUCUUUCAGUGUUGUGUGCAAGAGACAGUGUAUAAUUGUCAUGACUUGUCGGCUGGAUUCACACAGGAUGUCUAAUUUACGGAAACUGUCCCAGAUACUCCGAAAUGAUGAGAUUCACACAGAGCUAAAAGCAGAUCUCACUUUUGUUCCUGUUUAAAUCCAGUGUGAAUGACUACGAUGAGGUUCACUGUGCACAGCUCCACAGGAGGGCCAUUCACUUUUAUGUGCAAUCGUUUGUUGCGAUCAUAUGACAUGUUGGGGAAAAUAUUAACAAGCAAAAAAUACAGAUUCUCUAUGUGCCACAGUACUCUGAGACAAAAAUGUAUUAUGAAAUGAAUAAAAUUUGCAAACUUAAAA